RNAcentral lists this non-coding RNA (45 nucleotides) under Schistosoma margrebowiei. Lineage: Eukaryota; Metazoa; Platyhelminthes; Trematoda; Strigeidida; Schistosomatidae. The record is from RNAcentral.
AUCCAUUCGACAAGUCCCAAAUAGGACGAAAUACGCGUCCUGGAU